This 1107-nucleotide ribosomal RNA is filed under the name uncultured cyanobacterium. RNAcentral's name for it is "bacterial SSU rRNA". It matches the Rfam family "Bacterial small subunit ribosomal RNA", at positions 302 to 1443 of the family's 1533-position model. Lineage: Bacteria; Bacillati; Cyanobacteriota. The record is from RNAcentral.
UAUCAGGCACACUGGGACUGAGACACGUCCAGACUCCUACGGGAGGCAGCAGUGGGGAUUUCGCAAUGGCGAAGCUGACGAGCACGCGCGGAGGGAGAGGCUCUGGGUGUAACCUCUUUUCUCAAGGAAGAUAAUGACGGUACUGAGGAAUCAGCAUCGGCUAACUCCGUGCCAGCAGCCGCGGUAAUACGGAGGAUGCAAGCGUUAUCCGGAAUAAUUGGGCGUAAAGCGUUCGUAGGUGGUGAUGUAAGUCUGCUGUUAAAGCGUGUAGCUUAACUACAUAUAGGCGGUGGAAACUACAUGACUAGAGUGCGUUCGGGGCAGAGGGAAUUCCUGGUGUAGCGGUGAAAUGCGUAGAUAUCAGGAAGAACACCGGUGGCGAAGGCGCUCUGCUAGGCCGUAACUGACACUGAGGGACGAAAGCUAGGGGAGCGAAUGGGAUUAGAUACCCCAGUAGUCCUAGCUGUAAACGAUGGAUACUAGGCGUUGUCUGUAUCGACCCGGACAGUGCCGUAGCUAACGCGUUAAGUAUCCCGCCUGGGGAGUACGCACGCAAGUGUGAAACUCAAAGGGAUUGACGGGGGCCCGCACAAGCGGUGGAGUAUGUGGUUUAAUUCGAUGCAACGCGAAGAACCUUACCAAGGCUUGACAUGUCCGGAAUUUCUUGGAAACGAGAAAGUGCCUUCGGGAACCGGAACACAGGUGGUGCAUGGCUGUCGUCAGCUCGUGUCGUGAGAUGUUGGGUUAAGUCCCGCAACGAGCGCAACCCUCGUUUUUAGUUGCCAGCACUUCGGGUGGGCACUCUAGAGAGACUGCCGGUGACAAACCGGAGGAAGGUGGGGAUGACGUCAAGUCAUCAUGCCCCUUACGUCUUGGGCUACACACGUACUACAAUGCUAUGGACAAAGAGCAGCCAACCAGCGAUGGUGCGCUAAUCUCAUAAACCAUGGCUCAGUUCAGAUCGCAGGCUGCAACUCGCCUGCGUGAAGUAGGAAUCGCUAGUAAUUGCAGGUCAGCAUACUGCAGUGAAUUCGUUCCCGGGCCUUGUACACACCGCCCGUCACACCAUGGAAGUUGGUCAUGCCCGAAGUCGUUAUUCCAACCGAA